Streptomyces malaysiense is the source of this 98-nucleotide regulatory RNA element. It matches the Rfam family "Glycine riboswitch aptamer". Rfam says of the family: This family represents the bacterial glycine riboswitch. Glycine riboswitches usually consist of two metabolite-binding aptamers domains with similar structures in tandem. Lineage: Bacteria; Bacillati; Actinomycetota; Actinomycetes; Kitasatosporales; Streptomycetaceae. The record is from Rfam.
UGAAUCCGCGCGGGAGAGUCCCCAGCAGGCUUCGCUGGGGCGCCGAAGGAGCAAGUCCCUCCCUUGAAUCUCUCAGGCCCCGUUACCGCGCGGGCGAG